Molecule: long non-coding RNA, 851 nt
Organism: Cyprinus carpio carpio
Lineage: Eukaryota; Metazoa; Chordata; Actinopteri; Cypriniformes; Cyprinidae
Source: Ensembl
GUAAUAGUUUUGUAUGAAUCUGUAUAUUUGACUGCUAUUUAUAACAACCAGUGUGUUCGUAAUUAAGACAACACAUUCAAAUAAUAUGGUAAGACACACCAAUUUUCAAUAUAAAUUUUCAAUUUCAAUGAAAAAAAAAUUCAAUUUCAAUUUUCAGCAAAAUGAGCAUUCUGUACAGCUAAAAAUAGCUGGACAUGAAUGAGACCGGAAGCCAGACCCAUAGAAUUUACAAAUGGCCGUGCCCAUUUUUACGGGAAGAGAAAGGUGGAUAAAAGUUAUUUUAUUGCACUAUAUUGCACAACCAAAAUGAAUGGGACGUCGGAAACAAAAUCAGACAGUAUCCAAUACUCUAAGUAUCAGUUCUAUUAACUAUUAAUCCAAAAAUAUUGAAGAGCAGUAUCUUUUGUUUUUAGCCCUUAAAUUAGUUGGUAUUGGGAAAGACUAUUCUAACUUAUGAGCGCAAUAAGGAAAUAGGGAAACAAAUGAAACGAUCUGUGUUAUUGAUCUUGCAUUUUACAAAGACACUCAUAAUGUGGAAGAAAGCUGAAUCAUAUUGGACUAGCAGUUUCCUUGCAGUGAAUUUGUACUCAGGAGAGCAGCUAAAAAAAAAACCCAGGACUGUUUGCAAAUGUACUGCGUCUUAUGAUGGAAAGAAACUUCAUUUUGGUUAAAAUGGAAUUUUUAGUUGACUGAGCAAUUCCCUUGAUGUCAGGACUACCGCGGAGCUUGUGCAGCAAUGAGUUUUUUUCACUCACGUAUUUCACUGGUGUAUCAGUGAGAGGAAGGAGAGAGAAAAACAUAACAGCCCAGAGAUGAUUUCACUAGCACCGAUCAAUGUUGAGCAGCCGGAG